This 130-nucleotide small RNA is filed under the name Pantoea agglomerans. Its description in RNAcentral is "RtT sRNA". It matches the Rfam family "RtT RNA". Rfam says of the family: This family represents a bacterial cis-regulatory element known as RtT RNA. Lineage: Bacteria; Pseudomonadati; Pseudomonadota; Gammaproteobacteria; Enterobacterales; Erwiniaceae. The record is from RNAcentral.
UUUUCGUCUGCAGAAAAGAGGAUGAGGACCUCCGAAAGAGGUUUGAGCCGAGCGUAGCGAGACAACGUUGCUUCAGCAACGGCCCGCAGGGCGCGGCUCGCAGAGCAGUGUAAUCCUCUCUCGCCGACCA